AUGAAAAUAACAUCAAAUAUAUAGAUAGAUAUCAAUCGUCACAUGCAUACAAUAGAUGCCAAGACAUCACCAGCCAUCAAAUGUUUGACAAAAAAUAGGCACGCUGGCCAGAGUUUGCUACAUCUAACUGAGUAAACAUCUUAAUUAGCACGUAUAUAUUGAUGUAGGUCAACUAGAGUUUUCUACAUCACAAAACAUGUUAACUAUACAUGCACCAAAAUGUUACACCAAAACAUGUACCACCAUGUUAACAUCAAGAACCCAACUGGUUGCUCAAUAGUGACUGGCUGAAAAAUAAUCCCCCAAACAUCCCUUCAUCGUCUGCAACACGAAGACUUGAGGCAACACAAUGUUCCUGCCUUCCUGGAAAGUAAGAUUUGCAAAUUUUCAAAGGCUAGAACAUGACAAUAAGAAGGAAAAAAUAGAAAGCAUAAGGAAAGGAUCAAGGUGCCAUAGAGUCACUAAUUUGUGAUGCAUUAGUUUGAAUCGCCUGAAACUAUUCUAGGGUAUGUUCAUAAAGAACUUUUUGAAACUAUUCCAGGAAAUAAAAAGGCUAAAGUUAAGUACUUCUCACACCUCUAGUAACCCAGAAUCUAACUUAAGUUGUGAGCUAUUACUUUUACUCUACACAUAAUCACAAAAGAAGUGAUUAUCUUUGUUUCGAAAUAAAGUAUGAACUACACUCAACUCUGUUGCAAUGCAAAUUAGUGUGUUACAUCAAAUCACCAAAGUUCUAAACAGAAUUUCCUAUUUCCAAUAAUGAGAACCCAGAAAUGCAAAAAUUGGUAUAAAUUUGCGCAGCAUAACAACUGUAAAUUGGACAACUGGACAUACGAAAAGAUAUUAUGAUCCCUCCCACAUCUCACACAACCCCAUUAAUCAAAUGAUCCAGCACCACACAGGUUAGCAUCAUACAUCAAAGAAGCAUGCAUAUUGUCACAAGUAUGUGAACAUCAAAACGAACAGACCAUCACUAGUUGUAUCAUUUGAGAUUAGUUUGAGAAAUAGAUACGUGAAGAGAGCUAGGAUUUAUUUCUUGUUGAGCACACAAAGCUGGUGGUUCUUCGCUAUUUUCUAGAAU
Molecule: long non-coding RNA, 1081 nt
Filed under: Triticum aestivum (bread wheat)
Lineage: Eukaryota; Viridiplantae; Streptophyta; Magnoliopsida; Poales; Poaceae
Description: long non-coding RNA (TAES_LNC023468)
Source: RNAcentral